Cricetulus griseus (Chinese hamster) is the source of this 977-nucleotide non-coding RNA. The record is from RefSeq and is a predicted model, not a curated record. Lineage: Eukaryota; Metazoa; Chordata; Mammalia; Rodentia; Cricetidae.
AGGAAGCUGAGGCCUGCUGGCCGCUCCCAGAGCAGCUGGGCGUGCUAGAAAGCGUGAGGUGUCAAAGGGAAACACUGCCGUGACAGAGACCAGGUGGCAUGUCUUUUAGUCAGCGGGAAAUUUCAGAUUUUCUGCCCAGGCGAUGUCCACGGCAGCUCGGUUGCCAUGCGUACGUCUGCGUUGUUUGUCUCCUCAUUCAGAACUGACACCUGAAGUUUGGUUUCUCUGUGAUGGGCAAGUGCCCUGGCCAGUCUCCAAAUGGCUGCUCUGUAAGGUAUCAGACACACAGAGAGAAAUGUGUUGGCAACCACAGCAUGGAAAUCAAGAAGGAGGAAGUGACACACUCUGCCUCUCAAGUGAGAACUAACGAAAAGACAUCUGUAUCAGCUGGGUCUUUAUCCCAGGUUGGCACAGGCUACACGAGCUGUGUAGCUGAAGAUGCCCUUAAGCUCCUGAUAUUCCUGCCUCUGCUUCCUGAACACUAGGAUUGCCCGCAUACCCAGUUUAUGAAGUACCGGGGAGCAAAUCCAAGACUUUGUGCAUGCACUCUGGGGUGUGAGGAGUGGAGGAAGCCCCGAGUGAGUGAUGUCCUGAGUGAAUUUGUGCUGCUGUUGACAUGGGUGCAACCAUGUCAGGGACCCGGGCCUCAAACCCAGCAAAGCUUCUCCCCUCUCCCCUGCCUGAGGCUCACAGGGAAGUGGGAAAGCUUCCUCUCGGGUCCACAUGUGGAUGCUGACAGUAUGAGCAGAAAAUGUUCACCACAGCGUCAUCCUCCCACUGGACAUUGACAGCCUGAACUCUGCUCCCCUACAGAGACCGCUCCUACUGAGAUCAGCCAAACCUGCCCCCUGAACCAGAUGUAUGCCAUAACCCUGCCUCCUUGUUCAGGUGGAUGUAAUAAACACAGUGAGCUUCUGGAGUUCUGAGAUGUCUCCAGCAGAGAUCUCAGUUCACCUGAAAGCCAGCUUUUCUGUGUG